UUCGGGUGGGAGUGGCAGACGGGUGAGUAACACGUGGGAACGUACCCUUUGGUUCGGGACAACUCUGGGAAACUGGAGCUAAUACCGGAUACGCCCUUUUGGGGAAAGGUUUACUGCCGAAGGAUCGGCCCGCGUCUGAUUAGCUAGUUGGUGGGGUAACGGCCUACCAAGGCGACGAUCAGUAGCUGGUCUGAGAGGAUGAUCAGCCACACUGGGACUGAGACACGGCCCAGACUCCUACGGGAGGCAGCAGUGGGGAAUAUUGGACAAUGGGCGCAAGCCUGAUCCAGCCAUGCCGCGUGAGUGAUGAAGGCCUUAGGGUUGUAAAGCUCUUUUAUCCGGGACGAUAAUGACGGUACCGGAGGAAUAAGCCCCGGCUAACUUCGUGCCAGCAGCCGCGGUAAUACGAAGGGGGCUAGCGUUGCUCGGAAUCACUGGGCGUAAAGGGCGCGUAGGCGGCGUUUUAAGUCGGGGGUGAAAGCCUGUGGCUCAACCACAGAAUGGCCUUCGAUACUGGGACGCUUGAGUCUGGUAGAGGUUGGUGGAACUGCGAGUGUAGAGGUGAAAUUCGUAGAUAUUCGCAAGAACACCGGUGGCGAAGGCGGCCAACUGGACCGGCACUGACGCUGAG
This 631-nucleotide ribosomal RNA is filed under the name uncultured bacterium. RNAcentral describes it as "bacterial SSU rRNA". It matches the Rfam family "Bacterial small subunit ribosomal RNA", at positions 84 to 750 of the family's 1533-position model. The record is from RNAcentral.